CUGGCCUGCUCUGACAACUGUCACCAGCUUUCCUUCGGAAGUCCAACCAAUUUCCCAGGUCCAUGGUCCCAGUGCCGUUCCCGGUGUGUGUGUGGUGGGGGGGGGGGAGGCACAAUACGGGGGAGCUCUCUCCACUGCCAGGCAGGUACAGAACUGUCCCCCACUCCUCGGCAGGCCAGCUGCCCUGCUGGGGCCAGGAGUCUCCUGUAAGGCCCCCUCCCCCAGGUCCCCACACACAGGGGCAGGUCUGGGAGGGCGCAGAGAGGGAGCAGGGAGGGAUGAGAUUCCUUUUGAAUUUUAUUUAAUUGUGUGUAUGAUUCACAGGAGGGGGACUCAGCACUCACACAGUGAUUCCCAUACAAGUUCUGGGGUUCUUGCCCACCCUGCACAUGUUUGGCCACCUGGGGAGAGAGAGAUUUUGAGAGACCGUUUCCAGUAGCUCCAGCCACCGCAUGGACCGGGGGCACGUAUAUCAGAUGUCAUCUGCCACAAGAGCCGACAGAUGUCGGCUGGCCCCGAGCGCAUCUCACACCUGAGGCCAGAGCUCCCAGAGCAGAAGGAAUAGGCAAGCAGGGAAAGGCGCACGUUGGAUUGCAUGGCUCCAGCCCGUGUGGUCAGCCCCCAGCCAGGAUCAGCCGUGAGGGUUUGGCCCUGGGAGGUAGCUGGGAAAACCCAGGAGCCCCUGGGAUGAUCGACAGGCGGAGUUUGGACCUUGGAAAGGUCAGGGAGCCCCUGGGCCCCUGCAUGCAGCCCCAGCCUGAGGGAGCACCCAGCCCCGGGACCAGGAGCAUGACCCACGGAGACUCUGCACCUCUUCUGUGCAAGGCUUUUCCUUCGCUUCUCACUGGCUCGCCUUAUUCGUGCCUAAAAGGGCCGUGGGACUGUCAAGAGCAGGUGCGUGGGGUGCAGUCCCAGCUCUGCCCCGCUGGCCACCUGAGGGGAGCAAGGGACCCACUGCUCCCCAGCCUCGGGGUGAAGAUGGAGGCCAGAACAUGUGUCAGCACAUGCUCCAGGCUCCUGUCACCUCCACCCCACCCCAGACCAAGGCCACACCCCUGAGCUCUCAAGCACCGGCCCCUGCCUGCCCCCUGCCAGGCUGCCUCCCGCUGUACACUUGCCAUGUCAUGUGUCCCCAGGCUGGUCCUGGUAGCAGAGAUGAAGCAAGCUCUUACCCGUAAAUGUCCUCUGUAGGCCUCUGAGUCAUCAAGCUUGAAACUUUGUCUUGGAAUUUGCUCUGUUGUCCCCAGUUGAGUGUGUCAAGCAGGGCUUCUCAAGGCCAGGGUCGGGGGCGGCUGUGGAACGUCACUUCCCUGGGAACGCUCCUGAGUUCAGCUGGCUCACACAUGGAUCAGAUUUGCGCCCACCAUCCUCUGCCAGGGAAAAUAGAAACCAUAAAAAAAAAACUAGAAAGGAAUAGAAAGAAGCUUUUCCUCAGCCACAUGGAUGCUGGAAGAGGAGCCACCACAGUGUUCCCGGAGAACAGGAGCCUGAGCCCGUGUCCCCCAGGAGAAGUCUCCCCGCAGAAGCUACAGAAGCAUCAAGAACCUGGGCUGGGUAAAAGAGUUGGCUUUCUGUUCCAAGCAUCCUGAAGAUUUUAUUUAUUUAUUCGUGAGAGACAUAGAGAGGGAGACGCAGAGACACAGGCAG
Long non-coding RNA from Canis lupus familiaris (dog), 1647 nucleotides. RefSeq lists it as uncharacterized. The record is from RefSeq and is a predicted model, not a curated record. The transcript has 5 exons. Lineage: Eukaryota; Metazoa; Chordata; Mammalia; Carnivora; Canidae.